AGUGAACGCUGGCGGUAGGCCUAACACAUGCAAGUCGAACGGCAGCACAGUAAGAGCUUGCUCUUACGGGUGGCGAGUGGCGGACGGGUGAGGAAUACAUCGGAAUCUACUUUUUCGUGGGGGAUAACGUAGGGAAACUUACGCUAAUACCGCAUACGACCUACGGGUGAAAGCAGGGGAUCUUCGGACCUUGCGCGAUUGAAUGAGCCGAUGUCGGAUUAGCUAGUUGGCGGGGUAAAGGCCCACCAAGGCGACGAUCCGUAGCUGGUCUGAGAGGAUGAUCAGCCACACUGGAACUGAGACACGGCCCAGACUCCUACGGGAGGCAGCAGUGGGGAAUAUUGGACAAUGGGCGCAAGCCUGAUCCAGCUAUACCGCGUGGGUGAAGAAGGCCUUCGAGUUGUAAAGCCCUUUUGUUGGGAAAGAAAAGCAGCAGGUUAAUACCCCGCUGUUCUGACGGUACCCAAAGAAUAAGCACCGGCUAACUUCGUG
This 492-nucleotide ribosomal RNA is filed under the name uncultured bacterium. RNAcentral describes it as "partial 16S ribosomal RNA". It matches the Rfam family "Bacterial small subunit ribosomal RNA", at positions 29 to 507 of the family's 1533-position model. The record is from RNAcentral.